CGGGGUGUGGCGCAGCUUGGUAGCGCGCUUCGUUCGGGACGAAGAGGUCGGGGGUUCAAAUCCGCACACCCCGACCA
RNAcentral lists this transfer RNA (77 nucleotides) under Rhodococcus (subgen. Prescottella) equi. Its description in RNAcentral is "Rhodococcus hoagii tRNA-Pro". It matches the Rfam family "tRNA". Rfam says of the family: Transfer RNA (tRNA) molecules are approximately 80 nucleotides in length. Their secondary structure includes four short double-helical elements and three loops (D, anti-codon, and T loops). Lineage: Bacteria; Bacillati; Actinomycetota; Actinomycetes; Mycobacteriales; Nocardiaceae. The record is from RNAcentral.